RNAcentral lists this ribosomal RNA (617 nucleotides) under Phania funesta. Its description in RNAcentral is "partial 12S ribosomal RNA". The stretch from base 384 to 455 matches the Rfam family "tRNA". The record is from RNAcentral. Lineage: Eukaryota; Metazoa; Arthropoda; Insecta; Diptera; Tachinidae.
UAAAAAAUUUGGCGGUAUUUUAGUCUAUUCAGAGGAACUUAUUUUAUAAUCGAUAAUCCACGAUGGACCUUACUUAAAUUUGUUUUCAGUUUAUAUACCGUCGUUAUUAGAAUAUUUUAUAAGAAUAAUAAUUUUCAUAAUUUUUAAAAAGAAAUUAAAUCAGAUCAAGGUGUAGCUUAUGUUUAAGUAAAAAUGAGUUACAAUAAAAUUAUUUAAAUGAAUAUAAAUUUGAAAUGUUUAUUGAAAGUGGAUUUGAUAGUAAAAUUAUAUAGAUUAAUAAUUUGAUUUUAGCUCUAAAAUAUGUACACAUCGCCCGUCACUCUUAUUAUUAAAAUAAGAUAAGUCGUAACAUAGUAGAUGUACUGGAAAGUGUAUCUAGAAUGCAAUUUAAAGCUUUUAAAGUAAAGUAUUUCAUUUACAUUGAAAAGAUUUUUGUGCAAAUCAAUAUGAAUUGAUUAAAUUUUAUUUAUUAAAUUUUUGUAUUGAUUUUUUAAUUUAUUAAAAAUAAUUAUUUAUUUAAUAGUUUUAGUAUUUUAUAAAGAAAAAAUAUUAUUUAUUAUAGUUUAAUAGUAUUGUAAAAUAAAAUUGAAAUAAAUUGAAAAAUUUUUAUUUUAUAA